UACAGAGGGGGCUAGCGUUAUUCGGAAUUAUUGGGCGUAAAGGGCGCGUAGGCGGCCAUGCGUGUCUUCCGUGAAAUCCCUCGGCUUAACUGAGGACGUGCGGAAGAAACUGCAAGGCUCGAGUCCGGGAGAGGGGGGUGGAAUUCCCAGUGUAGCGGUGAAAUGCGUAGAUAUCGGGAGGAACACCUAUGGCGAAGGCAGCUCGCUGGGACGUUACUGACGCUGAGACGCGAAAGCGUGGGGAGCAAACAGG
This 253-nucleotide ribosomal RNA is filed under the name uncultured prokaryote. RNAcentral's name for it is "partial 16S ribosomal RNA". It matches the Rfam family "Bacterial small subunit ribosomal RNA", at positions 524 to 776 of the family's 1533-position model. The record is from RNAcentral.